This 247-nucleotide ribosomal RNA is filed under the name Fusobacterium mortiferum. RNAcentral describes it as "partial 23S ribosomal RNA". It matches the Rfam family "Bacterial large subunit ribosomal RNA", at positions 2661 to 2906 of the family's 2925-position model. The record is from RNAcentral. Lineage: Bacteria; Fusobacteriati; Fusobacteriota; Fusobacteriia; Fusobacteriales; Fusobacteriaceae.
CUUGAAGGGGGCUGCUCCUAGUACGAGAGGACCGGAGUGGACGGACCAAUGGUGUACCAAUUAUCCCGCCAGGGGUACAGUUGGGUAGCUACGUCCGGAAAGGAUAAACGCUGAAAGCAUCUAAGCGUGAAACCAGCCUUGAGAUGAGGUCUCCCGAAGCGUAAGCUUGAAAGACACCUUAAAGAAGAUGAGGUUGAUAGGCCAGGAGUAGAAGUUCAGUAAUGAAUGUAGCGGACUGGUACUAAUA